UACAGUUCGCUAAACCUCUAUCGGCGGAUAACUGCGGAUGGACGAAGGUCACCUUCGUGAUUUUAUCUAGCUUCUUGCAAGUGUCAUUCCCCUCCUCGUGAUUUGUGUCGGUAGUCCUUAUUGGCAGCGAUGAGUGAGUCGGAAGUGAGCACAUCGACUAUUGGCUUCCGUUCUCGUGAUUCCGACGAGCAGCGCCACCGCCUCUACCGCCCCUGACAGUAGGCGUGCUCGCCUCUCUUACCUUCCUGUUGCUGACCGAAGCCAAAGCCUUCCUCUCUUCUAAGUUGCAGGAAGCGGCAACGACUUGUUGCUAGAUAUAUCGUGAGCCGAGAGUCCCUUCCUCUUCUUCAAUUGAGCAACAACUUGGCAUACGUUGCUGCAGGAGGAAUUAAUCGGCUGCACAUCAACGAUCCUUCGUUCGAGAUAAGAUCUGCCUACUUUCUUGGACGACAUUUGUGUUUAGCUUGGGCUGUAGGGGAUCAAUCAAGGCUUGGAAUUGAUGAAGAUCUUGUGAUCUUACUCGGCAGUUAUUCACCUAUUCCAGUUGUGCUGGUGGGGUGACCACAAUGGCAAACCUGGACAAGAUAAAAACAGCAGUUAAGGUCGUGCCCUGGGAUAUCUUUGGAGGUGGUCUCGCAUACAAGGACGUUGUUGCUUGGCACAAGAAGCAAUUGAUGAUUUUCCAAUAGCCUUUCAUGAGAUUAAAAAUUUCACAUGAUUUUUGGUCAGAAGUUUGUUCUUGUGGAGUUAAUUUAUGAGGAUGUUAGCACUGUGUCAUGCAAUGUGAUAGAACUUCCUAACAACUAAAUCAACAAUAAUUUUUCAUCAA
Long non-coding RNA from Zingiber officinale, 829 nucleotides. RefSeq lists it as uncharacterized. The record is from RefSeq and is a predicted model, not a curated record. Lineage: Eukaryota; Viridiplantae; Streptophyta; Magnoliopsida; Zingiberales; Zingiberaceae. The transcript has 4 exons.